GACGAACCGUCCAAACGUUAUUCGGUAUCACUGGGCUUAAAGGGUGCGUAGGCGGUCUGGUAAGUUGGGUGUGAAAUCCCUCGGCUCAACCGAGGAACUGCGCCCAAUACUGCUAGACUUGAGGGAGGCAGAGGUAAGCGGAACUUGCGGUGGAGCGGUGAAAUGCAUUGAUAUCGCAGGGAACACCAGUGGCGAAGGCGGCUUACUGGGCCUUUUCUGACGCUGAGGCUCGAAAGCUAGGGGAGCGAACGGG
RNAcentral lists this ribosomal RNA (253 nucleotides) under uncultured bacterium. Its description in RNAcentral is "partial 16S ribosomal RNA". It matches the Rfam family "Bacterial small subunit ribosomal RNA", at positions 524 to 776 of the family's 1533-position model. The record is from RNAcentral.